GAUGAACGCUAGCUACAGGCUUAACACAUGCAAGUCGAGGGGUAGCAUGUUGGUUGCUUGCAACCGAUGAUGACGACCGGCGCACGGGUGAGUAACGCGUAUCCAACUUGGCUUAUACUUAGGGAUAACCCGUUGAAAGACGGCCUAAUACCUAAUGGUUUAUAAUAGUUGCAUGACUUUUAUAAUAAAGAUUUAUCGGUAUAAGAUAGGGAUGCGUCUGAUUAGUUAGUUGGUGAGGUAACGGCCCACCAAGGCAUCGAUCAGUAGGGGUUCUGAGAGGAAGGUCCCCCACAUUGGAACUGAGACACGGUCCGAACUCCUACGGGAGGCAGCAGUGAGGAAUAUUGGUCAAUGGACGUAAGUCUGAACCAGCCAAGUAGCGUGCAGGAUGACGGCCCUAUGGGUUGUAAACUGCUUUUAUGUGAGAAUAAAGUUAACUACGUGUAGUUAUUUGCAUGUAUCACAUGAAUAAGGACCGGCUAAUUCCGUGCCAGCAGCCGCGGUAAUACGGAAGGUCCAGGCGUUAUCCGGAUUUAUUGGGUUUAAAGGGAGCGUAGGCCGUUUGGUAAGCGUGCUGUGAAAUUUAGAGGCUCAACCUCUACCGUGCAGCGCGAACUGUCAGACUUGAGUGCGUAGUAGGUAGGCGGAAUUCGUGGUGUAGCGGUGAAAUGCUUAGAUAUCACGAAGAACUCCGAUUGCGAAGGCAGCUUACCGUAUCGCAACUGACGCUGAUGCUCGAAGGUGCGGGUAUCGAACAGGAUUAGAUACCCUGGUAGUCCGCACAGUAAACGAUGGAUGCUCGCUGUUGGCUUUUAUAGUCAGUGGCUUAGCGAAAGCGUUAAGCAUCCCACCUGGGGAGUACGCCGGCAACGGUGAAACUCAAAGGAAUUGACGGGGGCCCGCACAAGCGGAGGAACAUGUGGUUUAAUUCGAUGAUACGCGAGGAACCUUACCCGGGCUUGAACUGCAGGAGAACGAUUCAGAGAUGAUGAGGUCCUUCGGGACUCCUGUGGAGGUGCUGCAUGGUUGUCGUCAGCUCGUGCCGUGAGGUGUCGGCUUAAGUGCCAUAACGAGCGCAACCCCUUUUCUUAGUUGCCAUCGGGUGAUGCCGGGCACUCUGAGGAUACUGCCACCGUAAGGUGUGAGGAAGGUGGGGAUGACGUCAAAUCAGCACGGCCCUUACGUCCGGGGCUACACACGUGUUACAAUGGGGCAUACAGAGUGUUGGUUGCAUGUAAAUGUAAUCUAAUCUUUAAAGUGCUUCUCAGUUCGGACUGGGGUCUGCAACCCGACCCCACGAAGCUGGAUUCGCUAGUAAUCGCGCAUCAGCCAUGGCGCGGUGAAUACGUUCCCGGGCCU
Molecule: ribosomal RNA, 1359 nt
Filed under: uncultured bacterium
Lineage: Bacteria
Description: bacterial SSU rRNA
Rfam family: Bacterial small subunit ribosomal RNA
Source: RNAcentral